AGGCCAGAAGAGAGAAGCAGGGUUUGAUCCGCAGCCUCUGUGGCAGCUGUUGAUCAGUCCUUGACUCUCUCUUUCUCUCUG
Molecule: non-coding RNA, 81 nt
Organism: Myotis lucifugus (little brown bat)
Lineage: Eukaryota; Metazoa; Chordata; Mammalia; Chiroptera; Vespertilionidae
Source: Rfam